CCUACGGGCGGCAGCAGUGGGGAAUAUUGGACAAUGGGCGAAAGCCUGAUCCAGCCAUGCCGCGUGUGUGAAGAAGGCCUUCGGGUUGUAAAGCACUUUCAGUGGGGAAGAAAGCCUUGGGGCUAAUACCCUCGAGGAAGGACAUCACCCACAGAAGAAGCACCGGCUAACUCCGUGCCAGCAGCCGCGGUAAUACGGAGGGUGCGAGCGUUAAUCGGAAUUACUGGGCGUAAAGCGCGCGUAGGCGGUCUGAUAAGCCGGUUGUGAAAGCCCCGGGCUCAACCUGGGAACGGCAUCCGGAACUGUCAGGCUAGAGAGCAGGAGAGGAAGGUAGAAUUCCCGGUGUAGCGGUGAAAUGCGUAGAGAUCGGGAGGAAUACCAGUGGCGAAGGCGGCCUUCUGGACUGACACUGACGCUGAGGUGCGAAAGCGUGGGUAGCAAACAGGAUUAGAUACCCGGGUAGUC
This 465-nucleotide ribosomal RNA is filed under the name Vreelandella stevensii. RNAcentral describes it as "partial 16S ribosomal RNA". It matches the Rfam family "Bacterial small subunit ribosomal RNA", at positions 338 to 795 of the family's 1533-position model. The record is from RNAcentral. Lineage: Bacteria; Pseudomonadati; Pseudomonadota; Gammaproteobacteria; Oceanospirillales; Halomonadaceae.